Molecule: ribosomal RNA, 508 nt
Filed under: uncultured bacterium
Lineage: Bacteria
Description: partial 16S ribosomal RNA
Rfam family: Bacterial small subunit ribosomal RNA
Source: RNAcentral
AUUGAACGCUGGCGGCAUGCCUUACACAUGCAAGUCGAACGGCAGCGGGGGAGAAGCUUGCUUUUCCUGCCGGCGAGUGGCGAACGGGUGAGUAAUACAUCGGAACGUGCCCUGUAGUGGGGGAUAACUAGUCGAAAGAUUAGCUAAUACCGCAUACGACCUGAGGGUGGAAGUGGGGGACCGCAAGGCCUCAUGCUAUAGGAGCGGCCGAUAUCUGAUUAGCUAGUUGGUGGGGUAAAGGCCUACCAAGGCGACGAUCAGUAGCUGGUCUGAGAGGAAGAUCAGCCACACUGGGACUGAGACACGGCCCAGACUCCUACGGGAGGCAGCAGUGGGGAAUUUUGGACAAUGGGCGAAAGCCUGAUCCAGCAAUGCCGCGUGUGUGAAGAAGGCCUUCGGGUUGUAAAGCACUUUUGUCCGGAAAGAAAUGGCUCUGGUUAAUACCUGGGGUCGAUGACGGUACCGGAAGAAUAAGGACCGGCUAACUACGUGCCAGCCGCCGCGGUAA